RNAcentral lists this ribosomal RNA (245 nucleotides) under uncultured Actinomycetales bacterium. RNAcentral's name for it is "partial 16S ribosomal RNA". It matches the Rfam family "Bacterial small subunit ribosomal RNA", at positions 88 to 334 of the family's 1533-position model. The record is from RNAcentral. Lineage: Bacteria; Bacillati; Actinomycetota; Actinomycetes; Actinomycetales.
UGCUCGAGUGGCGAACGGGUGAGUAACACGUGAGUAACCUGCCCUUGACUUCGGGAUAACUUCAGGAAACUGGGGCUAAUACCGGAUAGGAGCUCCUGCUGCAUGGUGGGGGUUGGAAAGUUUCGGCGGUUGGGGAUGGACUCGCGGCUUAUCAGCUUGUUGGUGGGGUAGUGGCUUACCAAGGCUUUGACGGGUAGCCGGCCUGAGAGGGUGACCGGCCACAUUGGGACUGAGAUACGGCCCAG